RNAcentral lists this ribosomal RNA (495 nucleotides) under uncultured bacterium. RNAcentral's name for it is "partial 16S ribosomal RNA". It matches the Rfam family "Bacterial small subunit ribosomal RNA", at positions 28 to 507 of the family's 1533-position model. The record is from RNAcentral.
GACGAACGCUGGCGGCGUGCCUAAUACAUGCAAGUAGAACGCUGAAGGAGGAGCUUGCUUCUCUGGAUGAGUUGCGAACGGGUGAGUAACGCGUAGGUAACCUGCCUUUUAGCGGGGGAUAACUAUUGGAAACGAUAGCUAAUACCGCAUAAGAGUAGAUGUCGCAUGACAUUUGCUUAAAAGUUGCAAUUGCAUCACUACCAGAUGGACCUGCGUUGUAUUAGCUAGUUGGUGAGGUAACGGCUCACCAAGGCAACGAUACAUAGCCGACCUGAGAGGGGGAUCGGCCACACUGGGACGGAGACACGGCCCAGACUCCUACGGGAGGCAGCAGUAGGGAAUCUUCGGCAAUGGACGGAAGUCUGACCGAGAAACGCCGAGUGAGGGAAGAAGGUUUUCGGAUCGUAAAGCUCUGUUGUAAGAGAAGAAAGAGUGUGAGAGUGGAAAGUUCACACUGUGACGGUAUCUGACCAGAAAGGGACGGCUAACUACGUG